RNAcentral lists this ribosomal RNA (279 nucleotides) under uncultured bacterium. RNAcentral's name for it is "partial 16S ribosomal RNA". It matches the Rfam family "Bacterial small subunit ribosomal RNA", at positions 506 to 784 of the family's 1533-position model. The record is from RNAcentral.
UGCCAGCAGCCGCGGUAAUACGGAGGGUGCGAGCGUUAAUCGGAUUUACUGGGCGUAAAGCGCACGUAGGUGGUUUUGUAAGUUGGAUGUGAAAGCCCUGGGCUUAACCUGGGAACUGCAUCCAAAACUGCAAGGUUAGAGUACGGUAGAGGGGGGUAGAAUUUCCGGUGUAGCGGUGAAAUGCGUAGAGAUCGGAAGGAAUACCAGUGGCGAAGGCGGCCCCCUGGACUGAUACCGACGCUGAGGAGCGAAAGCUAGGGGAGCGAACAGGAUUAGAUA